UGGAGAAUAGGUCAGUGGCAGGACAUCUGCCUUGCAAGCAGAAGGUCCCUAGUCAACCCCCAGCAUCUCCAG
Podarcis lilfordi (Lilford's wall lizard) is the source of this 72-nucleotide non-coding RNA. The record is from the annotation of a GenBank genome assembly. Lineage: Eukaryota; Metazoa; Chordata; Lepidosauria; Squamata; Lacertidae.